Molecule: ribosomal RNA, 1486 nt
Filed under: metagenome
Description: bacterial SSU rRNA
Rfam family: Bacterial small subunit ribosomal RNA
Source: RNAcentral
AGAGUUUGAUCCUGGCUCAGGAUGAACGCUAGCUACAGGCUCAACACAUGCAAGUCGAGGGGCAGCAUGGUCUUAGCUUGCUAAGGCCGAUGGCGACCGGCGCACGGGUGAGUAACACGUAUCCAACCUGCCGUCUACUCUUGGACAGCCUUCUGAAAGGAAGAUUAAUACAAGAUGGCAUCAUGAGUCCGCAUGUUCACAUGAUUAAAGGUAUUCCGGUAGACGAUGGGGAUGCGUUCCAUUAGAUAGUAGGCGGGGUAACGGCCCACCUAGUCUUCGAUGGAUAGGGGUUCUGAGAGGAAGGUCCCCCACAUUGGAACUGAGACACGGUCCAAACUCCUACGGGAGGCAGCAGUGAGGAAUAUUGGUCAAUGGGCGAGAGCCUGAACCAGCCAAGUAGCGUGAAGGAUGACUGCCCUAUGGGUUGUAAACUUCUUUUAUAAAGGAAUAAAGUCGGGUAUGCAUACCCGUUUGCAUGUACUUUAUGAAUAAGGACCGGCUAACUCCGUGCCAGCAGCCGCGGUAAUACGGAGGAUCCGAGCGUUAUCCGGAUUUAUUGGGUUUAAAGGGAGCGUAGAUGGAUGUUUAAGUCAGUUGUGAAAGUUUGCGGCUCAACCGUAAAAUUGCAGUUGAUACUGGAUAUCUUGAGUGCAGUUGAGGCAGGCGGAAUUCGUGGUGUAGCGGUGAAAUGCUUAGAUAUCACGAAGAACUCCGAUUGCGAAGGCAGCCUGCUAAGCUGCAACUGACAUUGAGGCUCGAAAGUGUGGGUAUCAAACAGGAUUAGAUACCCUGGUAGUCCACACGGUAAACGAUGAAUACUCGCUGUUUGCGAUAUACAGCAAGCGGCCAAGCGAAAGCGUUAAGUAUUCCACCUGGGGAGUACGCCGGCAACGGUGAAACUCAAAGGAAUUGACGGGGGCCCGCACAAGCGGAGGAACAUGUGGUUUAAUUCGAUGAUACGCGAGGAACCUUACCCGGGCUUAAGUUGCAGAUGAAUUACGGUGAAAGCCGUAAGCCGCAAGGCAUCUGUGAAGGUGCUGCAUGGUUGUCGUCAGCUCGUGCCGUGAGGUGUCGGCUUAAGUGCCAUAACGAGCGCAACCCUUGUUGUCAGUUACUAACAGGUUCUGCUGAGGACUCUGACAAGACUGCCAUCGUAAGAUGUGAGGAAGGUGGGGAUGACGUCAAAUCAGCACGGCCCUUACGUCCGGGGCUACACACGUGUUACAAUGGGGGGUACAGAGGGCCGCUACCACGCGAGUGGAUGCCAAUCCCCAAAACCUCUCUCAGUUCGGACUGGAGUCUGCAACCCGACUCCACGAAGCUGGAUUCGCUAGUAAUCGCGCAUCAGCCACGGCGCGGUGAAUACGUUCCCGGGCCUUGUACACACCGCCCGUCAAGCCAUGGGAGCCGGGGGUACCUGAAGUGCGUAACCGCGAGGAGCGCCCUAGGGUAAAACUGGUGACUGGGGCUAAGUCGUAACAAGGUA